CCUACGGGAGGCAGCAGUGAGGAAUAUUGGUCAAUGGCCGGAAGGCUGAACCAGCCAUGCCGCGUGAAGGGCAGGGCCCUAGGGGCGUUAAACCUCUUUUGUGCGGGAGCAAUAAUGGUCACGUGUGGCCAGACGAGAGUACCGUACGAAUAAGCAUCGGCUAACUCCGUGCCCGCGGCCGCGGUAAUACGGGGGAUGCAAGCGUUAUCCGGAUUUAUUGGGUUUAAAGGGUGCGUAGGCUGUGAGGUAAGGCAGCGGUGAAAUGCCCCCGCUCAACGGGGUGAAGUGCCAUUGAUACUGCCUUGCUGGAAUGCGGAUGCCGUGGGAGGAAUGUGUGGUGUAGCGGUGAAAUGCAUAGAUAUCACCCAGAACACCGAUUGCGAAGGCAUCUCACGAAUCCGCGAUUGACGCUGAUGCACGAAAGCGUGGGUAUCAAACAGGAUUAGAUACCCUAGUAGUC
Molecule: ribosomal RNA, 460 nt
Filed under: uncultured bacterium
Lineage: Bacteria
Description: partial 16S ribosomal RNA
Rfam family: Bacterial small subunit ribosomal RNA
Source: RNAcentral